AUGAUAUUUGACGUAUCAGGUUCAGAGAAGGAUUUUCGAGAUUUCUAGAAUUUUUAGUUUGGAUUUUCUUUUGAGGUAAGUAGUGUUUACUUUUAUUGAAUUUAUCUGAUAAAUUAUAAAUUUUGAAUUAAAUAAAUUUAUGCAUGCUUGUGAUUGAAAUUAUUUAUUGAAAUAAUUAUUGAAAUUAUUUAUGAUUAAAAUUAAUUAUAAAAAAUUAUUUAUGAUUGA
RNAcentral lists this long non-coding RNA (228 nucleotides) under Elaeis guineensis (African oil palm). RNAcentral describes it as "long non-coding RNA (EGUI_LNC057225)". The record is from RNAcentral. Lineage: Eukaryota; Viridiplantae; Streptophyta; Magnoliopsida; Arecales; Arecaceae.